GCGGUCGCUGCGUUAAACGCUCCUGUGUAAGUCUAACUACUUUUAGUGUGAAACUGCGAAUGGCUCAUUAUAUCAGUUAUAGUUUAUUUGGAAUAGUUUGUAUAUGGAUAACCGUAGUAAUUCUAGGGCUAAUACAUGUGUUUUCUUUGUUGGGUAACCAGUAAAGAAGUACUUAUUAGACAUAAAACCAUUUUAUAAAAUGGUGAGUAAUAAUAAUUGUUUGACUUUAUCGCAUGCUUUUUUGUAGUAGCGAUGUUCCUUUCAAGUUUCUGCCCUAUCAGCUUUCGAUGGUAGUGUAUUGGACUACCAUGGCAGUAACGGGUAACGAAGAAUUUGGGUUCGAUUUCGGAGAGGGAGCCUGAGAGAUGGCUACCACAUCCCAGGAAGGCAGCAGGCGCGUAAAUUACCCAAUCCUGACACAGGGAGGUAGUGACAAUAAAUCUCAAUACGAAGCCUUUGGUUUUGUAAUUGAAUUGAGAACAAUGUACAAUCGUUAUCGAUAAACAAUUGGAGGGCAAGUCUGGUGCCAGCAGCCGCGGUAAUUCCAGCUCCAAUAGCGUAUAUUAACGUUGUUGAGUUAAAAA
Molecule: ribosomal RNA, 584 nt
Filed under: Blastocystis sp.
Lineage: Eukaryota; Bigyra; Opalinata; Blastocystidae
Description: SSU rRNA
Rfam family: Eukaryotic small subunit ribosomal RNA
Source: RNAcentral